This 254-nucleotide ribosomal RNA is filed under the name uncultured bacterium. RNAcentral's name for it is "partial 16S ribosomal RNA". It matches the Rfam family "Bacterial small subunit ribosomal RNA", at positions 524 to 776 of the family's 1533-position model. The record is from RNAcentral.
UACGUAGGGUGCGAGCGUUGUCCGGAAUUAUUGGGCGUAAAGAGCUCGUAGGCGGUCUGUCGCGUCGGUCGUGAAAACUUGGGGCUUAACCCUGAGCUUGCGGUCGAUACGGGCAUGACUGGAGUUCGGUAGGGGAGACUGGAAUUCCUGGUGUAGCGGUGAAAUGCGCAGAUAUCAGGAGGAACACCGGUGGCGAAGGUGGGUCUCUGGGCCGAUACUGACGCUGAGGAGCGAAAGCGUGGGGAGCGAACAGG